This 76-nucleotide transfer RNA is filed under the name Anaerolineae bacterium CG2_30_57_67. RNAcentral's name for it is "tRNA-Met". It matches the Rfam family "tRNA". From Rfam's summary of the family: Transfer RNA (tRNA) molecules are approximately 80 nucleotides in length. Their secondary structure includes four short double-helical elements and three loops (D, anti-codon, and T loops). Further hydrogen bonds mediate the characteristic L-shaped molecular structure. tRNAs have two regions of fundamental functional importance: the anti-codon, which is responsible for specific mRNA codon recognition, and the 3' end, to which the tRNAs corresponding amino acid is attached (by aminoacyl-tRNA synthetases). tRNAs cope with the degeneracy of the genetic code in two manners: having more than one tRNA (with a specific anti-codon) for a particular amino acid; and 'wobble' base-pairing, i.e. permitting non-standard base-pairing at the 3rd anti-codon position. The record is from RNAcentral. RNAcentral also lists the same sequence under 1 other name. Lineage: Bacteria; Bacillati; Chloroflexota; Anaerolineae.
GGGCCCGUGGCGCAGUGGUUAGCGCAGGGGACUCAUAAUCUCUUGGUCGCUGGUUCGACUCCAGCCGGGCCCACAA